Molecule: long non-coding RNA, 2920 nt
Organism: Triticum aestivum (bread wheat)
Lineage: Eukaryota; Viridiplantae; Streptophyta; Magnoliopsida; Poales; Poaceae
Exons: 4
Source: RefSeq, a predicted model, not a curated record
ACUGCACGAGCUCUCCUCUCUCCCACGCCUCCUGAUCCCAGCCGCCAGGAGGCACGCGGCCCUUGGGGCGCUCGAUCCGGUGACGCGCCGGCCGCCGCCGACGCCGGCAAUCACAGCACCCUGCACCACCGUUCCUCCUUAGCUCCUCAUCUUCCCCGCGUGCCCGAGCUCCUCCUCUCUCCCGCGUGCCCGAGCUCCUCGCUGUGUGCCGCUCGGGAGGGCUUGCGUUCGCCGCUCGACCAAAGCCACCGCGAGCUGGUCGUCGUUGCACUUGCUGGCGACCUGGCCGUCCCCUCUGCAACACUUUCACCUCAAAUUUGGACGCUCAUGUGCUUGUGGAUGUUCUCAGUUAUUUUUUGCACACAAGGUGUUUGUGUGUUUGUCUGAACCUGUUUCAGUCACAGAUCCUUGAGCCGACCUAAUUGAGCUAUCGGAGGUGUUGCGGUCUUUUAGCAAACAUGCCCUAUAUUCUAUGGUUUGGCAUCUACAGGAUGCCAUCUCUGGUCAUGGAUCCACUAUGGCUGCUUCGUCCUUCACUUAGGACCUUCUCACCUCCACAGAGAUCAGAGAGAAAAAUAUAUCUUGGAAGCAGGAACCCUUACCUCAUAAGAUGGGUGAGCUGUAGGAUUUGGUUCUGUUGAACUUGAAUUAGUUUUUGCUCAUCAUGUUCUCUGUAUUAGGAAUUCAGGUUAUGACUAUGCCGUAGGUGACGUGCGGAAAGGCGACCAAAGAGUACAUGAAGAAUUCUUGCUAUCAACUAGGGCUGGAUGCCCCCAGGAAGAAUGCCGUGAGUCAACUUUAAUGACUAAUAUGUUAAUUUCUUCUAGCUACACAAUAUGAGAUAUUGCUUCUUAAUUAACGCUUACUGCUACGUAGUAAGAUGACAAUGGGAUUUUGUUUCUCGAGUUGGCACUCAGUAGUAAAAGUGGUUUAUACUUCGAAUAGUUGAGCCGAAAACUGGCGUGUCAUGGCUCCUAAUGUUACAGAGCAAGUGGACAGACUCUAUCCCCCCCCCCUCUCUCUAGACUUUGUUUUCUAGGUUUGGUUGGGUACAAAAGGCUAGAUUCUGGUAUAUAUUCAUUGAUGCAGAAGCUAGAAGCUCAUUGAUAUUAUUUUUCUUGCCAAACAUACAAAGGAUUGUGCAUAAAACUUCCAGCUUGAAAUCUACAUCUGGGUUACGAGCUUUCUCCAGAAUUUAAGAACAUCGUUGUGGACAUUUAGAUAUUUUUGUAGUAUUCUUCAGGGUCUUGACUUAAUUUCUUUUCACACAGUAAAAUAUUAAUUAUAUGUUGUACAGUAGUAGUACUGUGCAUACUAUGUACUCAAGUUUAUUAAAGUCAAAGCAGGAAAGGAGAUCAGAGUUCAGGGCAUGUUCAGCUCCACCCAUGCAUCAAGGGAAAUAUAUACGACGCAAAUGAUAACGUGUUCUGCUAGAUGACAUAGUACAAGGUUCAGCAAUGACGACAUGAUCUCAAACAUGCCACUGGCAUGGCACCUAUACUAAACUUGAUUUGUUCUCUCAAUAUGGAAUGUUAAUCUUCUCCUCUGCAUAGUACAAAUAUUCCCUUAGCUCAAAGGAUAUAGACAUGGUGAGUUUGGUUGGAGGAAAUAAGAAUGAUUUAUAAAAGUAAUAAAAUGGAGAUAAUGCUGCUUGAUGUGUAUGGGGAUUCUGAAGAUAUAUAUGAUUGAUACUUUCCCUGCAUGAUAUAGAUUAGUCGAGGUUUGCGAAGUUCUCUAUAAAAGAACUAUGUGGGGUUCUAUUAUUGUAUUAUUUCUAACACGUAAAAUAUUUAGGCCCCCGUUGCAUUGCAAGGGCAAUCAGGUCAUGGCAGAAUCAAGCAGGAACUAGGAAGUAGGAAGGGACCAGUCCCGCCCCCAGCGACAAAGACUUCGACAACGGUGACGACAGUGUGUCCCGGCGAGCAUGAGCAAUGGAAGCAUAAUCUCCAAGUAACUGACCAAGACGUUGUCCAGGUCACACGUCGAGGACUUCCUGCCGCCACCUUGGCUGCUGUUGUUGUCCCCUCAAAUAAGCCAUAUAAGGUUAGUUCCAUACACUGCAAAUGCAACUUGCAAGCAUGGGGACAUGUACAGAACACAAGUGUCAUACACACAGAAAUCAUCAACUUUGUGUUUUAAUUGUCUGAAUUACAGGCAUCCCUAGCUGCACUUGCAGGUCAAAAACAUGUGCAUACUUCGGUAGGCACAACAAGCAGACCUAUACAAAUUUGCUACAAAGGCCUGAGCUACUGAAUAUAUAUACCUAUAAUAAAAAGAGGCUUUCCUAUCGUCCUCUUUCAUGUUCAAGUUCCUAAUGAAGCAGCCAUGAAAGACUGGGUCAACAAUGAAAUAAAAUAGAAAACUAAACCCACUGUUCAUGAUCUUUGUGGAAGAAAACACAUACGAUUCUUAUUCUGUAAGAGUUGUUUGUCUUUUGAGUUACUGCAUAGGCAAAAUGCCAAAAUUCAGUGUAGUCUUUUCGGUUAAUCUCAUCAUCAUGUAAUUAAUAUUCUGUGAAGACUACAAUAUACAGCGAGGCAAUGAGAAGAACUGGACCUGCUGUGUGAGUGUAUAAAUAUACAAGAAGCUAUUUUUAUCCAAUCUUGCUAUUAAUGACCAUGUGGUGUAAUCUUGGGCUAUUUGUUGUAAAUAGCUAAAAGUGGUUCAUAAUUCUUGGUGUGUUUUGCUGUUUCUUGCGCUGGAGGAUCUGCUCCUUCCCCACGCGUGCCCACGAGGACAAGGAGUCAUAGUGGUGGCCACUAGCAGCGCCAGAAGGAGCGUCCAUUCAAGCACAUUCAACCAGGAUGGUGUGCACGUUUUUUUUAAAAGCUCAGGCUCCUCUUUCUUACAUGAGUUAUUCUUAAUUAUUGAUUUGAUCUGUAGGAUUUACAUCAGGUUGGCACAAUUUGAUGAACUUGAA